CAUUUAAAAGCAUGACAGAGAUUACAGUGACACUCUGAAGAAAUUUAUAAAUACGUGUGGAGUAUAACGCACCAAGUUGUUUUAUACGACCUUGUGUUAGUGACCUGAAAAGUGCUAACAUCGUCCUCAACGCUGUCAACAUGACCACAAAUCGGGAGAAACUCGCCCAAGAUUUCGGACAUCUUAACAUUGCUCACUACGCUCCCCAACAAUAUUCAGCUACAAAAGGUAAAAAAAUCGCCCCCGUAGUUCCACCGAAGCCUAAGAAAAAAAUAAUUCCCGAACUUGCAAACCCCAACGUCCAGUUUUCGCAAACGGAAAAACAGAAUCGGGAGAAAAACUACCAGCCAGUUCUAGAACCUGGACAUGAGGAAAAGCUGGAACAAAACUACACCCUUCUCCGGGAUUCCAAGUACUCCAGUACAGUAGAGACAAAAUACCCAGUUAAAGAAGACGAAACUCGUCAGUUAGCUAAACAAAAGUAUCUUCCUGUUGAAGAUGUUAGAUAUGAAAGUAACACACAAAAACUUGAGAGUGUCGAAGGUCUUCCGGAGAAUCGUUAUACGACUUCAACAGAAAAACAAACUCGUACUGUUAGAAAUCGGAUGGAGCCAGCGCCAUCUAGUGUGGGCAGACCAUUGUAUUCUUCCUAUAGUACUCUUUCCACUGAUGACGAACUUCCACCUCCACCACCACCACCACAGACAACAAGAUAUUCUCCUCCCAGCAGUUAUGCAUUCCCUCCUCCGCCACCACUACCACCACAGAGAACAAGGUAUUCUCCUCCCAGCAGUUAUGCAUUCCCUCCUCCACCACCUCCUCCAGAAGAGCAUCAACUUCAGUCUCCAAUGAGAACUUAUGAUACGGGUCCAAUGUACAACCCCAUCGUUCCUAGACCAGCCAACAGUCAAAUGCCUUCUAAGUCACUGCUCUAUUCCGACCAUCACCAUGAAAGGAAGCCAGCCACUGGAAUGAUGACCCAACCUUUGGAAGGAGGACCAUCCACUGGACAAAAAGUUCAGAUUGACGAUCUGACAGACCUUCUGGUACGAAGCAUGGAAAAUUCAAGUGAUCCUGAUUUUUUAGGAAUUUGUUACAAAUGUGGUGAAAACGUGCUUGGAGCAGAAGGUGGUUGUACAGCAAUGAGUCAAAUUUACCAUAGGCAUUGCUUCACUUGCCAUGUUUGCCAUAAGGAACUGCAAGGAAAAUCAUUUUAUAUAGUGGAUGGGAACCCACACUGUGAAGAAGAUUACUUGAAUUCUCUUGAAAAGUGCUAUGUCUGUGGAAAUCCCAUUUGUGAAAGGAUCUUACGAGCUACUGGCAAUCCAUAUCAUCCAGAGUGUUUUAAGUGUGUAGUUUGUGGGAAGUGUCUUGACAGUGUCCCAUUCACAGUAGAUGCUACCAACCAGAUUUACUGCAUUGAUGAUUUUCACAAGUAAAAAAAUUUGCUCCUAGAUGUUGUGUGUGUAAACAACCAAUCAUGCCCGAACCAGACCUGCAAGAGACGGUCAGAGUUGUGGCCUUGGACAGAAGUUUUCACGUAGACUGUUACAGAUGCGAGGAUUGCAACAUUUUGCUGUCAUCAGAAGCUGAAGGCUAUGGUUGUUAUCCUUUGGAUGAUCACAUUUUGUGCAAAAACUGCAAUGCCAAACGUGUCCAAACCCUGACUUCUCGGACAACAACAGAACUUUAGCCCAUCUACAGUACACAAU
Molecule: unclassified non-coding RNA, 1712 nt
Filed under: Limulus polyphemus (Atlantic horseshoe crab)
Lineage: Eukaryota; Metazoa; Arthropoda; Merostomata; Xiphosura; Limulidae
Description: lipoma-preferred partner homolog, transcript variant X2
Source: RNAcentral